RNAcentral lists this transfer RNA (82 nucleotides) under Alistipes indistinctus. RNAcentral's name for it is "tRNA-Leu". It matches the Rfam family "tRNA". From Rfam's summary of the family: Transfer RNA (tRNA) molecules are approximately 80 nucleotides in length. Their secondary structure includes four short double-helical elements and three loops (D, anti-codon, and T loops). Further hydrogen bonds mediate the characteristic L-shaped molecular structure. tRNAs have two regions of fundamental functional importance: the anti-codon, which is responsible for specific mRNA codon recognition, and the 3' end, to which the tRNAs corresponding amino acid is attached (by aminoacyl-tRNA synthetases). tRNAs cope with the degeneracy of the genetic code in two manners: having more than one tRNA (with a specific anti-codon) for a particular amino acid; and 'wobble' base-pairing, i.e. permitting non-standard base-pairing at the 3rd anti-codon position. Lineage: Bacteria; Pseudomonadati; Bacteroidota; Bacteroidia; Bacteroidales; Rikenellaceae. RNAcentral also lists the same sequence under 6 other names. The record is from RNAcentral.
GCGGAUAUGGCGUAAUUGGUAGCCGCGCCAGACUUAGGAUCUGGUGCCUCACGGCGUGGGGGUUCGAGUCCCUUUAUCCGCA